CGCGGAUUACGGUGGCGGCCU
This 21-nucleotide non-coding RNA is filed under the name Arabidopsis thaliana (thale cress). Lineage: Eukaryota; Viridiplantae; Streptophyta; Magnoliopsida; Brassicales; Brassicaceae. The record is from RNAcentral.